This is a long non-coding RNA of Odocoileus virginianus texanus, 1004 nucleotides long. RefSeq lists it as uncharacterized. The record is from RefSeq and is a predicted model, not a curated record. Lineage: Eukaryota; Metazoa; Chordata; Mammalia; Artiodactyla; Cervidae.
CGGAGAGGUGAGCUGCCGGGCGCCGAUUGGCCGCGGGCGGGUGACGUGCGCGCCCUGCGGAGGCCGAAGCGGCGCGGGCGGCAGUGGGGCAGCGGGGCCCGCCUCUGAGUCCUGAGGUCGAAGAGGGCCUUCACGGUGGGCUUUUCAUGUCCGGAGACUGUGUCCGAGGAGGUCAAGCACGUGAGAGUGCUUUGUAACCGGAAGGUGUCUUUCAAAAGCAGCUCCAGAUUUGCUCCUGCUACCUGGUAGGAUGGAACACCUGACCAUGGGACAUCAAGUGACCGUGUGAAUAAUCAAACCACCCAUCGUGAACUGACGUUAUCUGAUUCACAAGACCAUACAGCUGGAUGAGCACAGAGCAGUCUACUCCCUGGUAGACUGGGAACUGGCUACGGCUGAACUAAAUGAGCAGGUGACUCAGACUCCUGUAGUCCCUGACCCUGCUCCUUCAGCGUUUCUCCCCCAACCCAUAUAAGUUGGCUUCAGGAGGAGUUCCUUCUGACCAGUUAAUGGAAGAGAAAAAAGUGUGGGUCCUAUUCAUUCUUGAAAGGAUCUGCUGUGAGCUGGCCACAGCUGGAUGUGAAUGGUCAGUAAAACACCUCUCAUUAGCGGCACUAACACAUAUUGUAAAGGGAAAUCUUUCCGUAGGGAAUAAUGUUAGGAAUACAGCCUGAGGUCAGGGUAUGUACUGGUUCAUUGUCACUGGCUUAUGAGUUGACAGGCUAGAGGAGAACUCAGAAGAAAUUGGAAAACUGGCCAGUUAUGAUACAGUAACCUGCAAAUUAGGGAUGCUGGCCUAAACAAUGUAGUACAUGCUUAGAAUCCAUAAUCAGUAUAUGGUGCUACCUUCCCCAGAAGGUGUAUAGAGUGGAUAUGAGAGUAGUCCUUCUAUUUUUCAGAAUGACUAAUUUUGUAAAAAAGAGUUCAGGUGGCAUGUUUUCCAAAUUUGGUGGAAAGCAUAGGACUAUAAAUCUACAAAGCUCAGGAAAUUGCAAGCAGAAAAA